Molecule: long non-coding RNA, 1995 nt
Filed under: Homo sapiens (human)
Lineage: Eukaryota; Metazoa; Chordata; Mammalia; Primates; Hominidae
Description: HSALNT0339765
Source: RNAcentral
UCAUGUGGCCUUUAGUAAGAAGCGUCCACUCUCAUUGUGUUUUAUUUACCAGCUUGCUUUUAAAGAGCCAGGACCAGUCCACUAGCUGUGCAGAGUGCUGACCUCUUGGAUGAGAGCCCUGACCUCAUAGGAUAUCUGAGCUUGUCAUAAUUCAGGUGGGUUCUGUAGGGAAGCAGGGGCUCGUGGGGAGUGGGAGGAAGCUGGGGAGAAGAUGAGUUGAGAGCAGUCCAGUGUGAGGGAAAGUGGGGAUCCUGGGCCAACUUACCAUUAAGAGGGUCCAGUCCUGUGACUGCUGUGAAGUAACCAGGAUUCCACAUAGAGAUGGGGCUCAAAGUCAGCCCAGGAGCAGCACUGUGGUCCCAGAACUAAUAUUUGGCGACUCCAAGGCCAGGGAUAAAAAUGAAGAGAUGGAGAGACAAGAUUUCCUGGCCUCUAAUUGGCAGCACCCGUUGACUCUGCUCGUGACCAGACUCAUGAACGCUUCAUCCAAGGUUUCAUGUCAUCCGUGUGAGGAACCUCUCUGAUUUGAGAAAAUCUUUCUUAAAAUGGGCUUCUAGUUGUAAAGCCAUUGUCUUUUUAGGAAAUCAUCAAAUACCUUAAAGCUAGACACGCAAUCAGCUGCAUAAAUGACACACUCACUAAAUCAAUCCUUUAUCAGGUGGUCCUUCAAGGAUUUCUUGGUUUUGGGUUUUGAAAUGUGUAAGGUUUGCUGCUAGCAACUCCACAUUUUUUUAUUCACUCACAAAGACACAUGGUCAUAAAUAAAAUGCAUGGAACCAGCGAGACAAUAGCACAGCAGUAAUGUCAUUUUAUAUGCAGCAUGGCCCUGUUGUGAACGGAAUGAUUGUGAACGGAAUGAUGGCCAAGGAGCUUUAUGCUUCUGCACCGCCAGCUCACACGAUGGUCCGUGUAUUGCCCCGUGGAAAACCGGGGGUGGAAAGCUGUCUCCACGUUCUGCUGCCGAAGCAGCAAGCUGAUUCACACAUCUUGAAGGCACAGUGGAACAUGGAAGGGUGCAUAUGAGACUUGAUUUUGAGGAUGAAACUUCCUGUCUGAAUCGCUAAGUCUCCCAGCAGGGGUGUUAAUGUCCCUGUGAGAUGCAGGCUUCCCACAGACACACCCAGGUUGCGAGUGGGUUCAACAUGGUCACAGGAGCUUCAAAUGGUGAUCCUGAUGCUCAUGGCCAUGCAUUGAGAACAACUGUGUAAGAAGAUAUGGAUAAUGCUUGAAAACUACUAGUAUUAGCACCAUUUUGCAUAUACUCCAAGGAAGAUCUCAAUAAAUGCUUAAUGGAAAUAAGUAAAGGUAUGAAUGCUGGACCUAAUACAGGAGGAAGACCCAGGUGAUUUGUGUACAAUUUGGACACAAGCUCUUGCCAACCACCUGAGAGAUUCCAACAAUGAGAUGAGAUUCCUUACCUUGAACCAGAUAAUUUGGAAUGAAUGUCUAGGCAGAACUUCUGCUUCAGAAUGACCACAAUUAACUACCAGACAACCAACUUUGGGGACAUAUCAGUAGGUUGAUCCUGGUUUGGGAAGCUUCCAGCUUGGAAUGAUUACAAUAGAAAGAAGCUGUUCUCCUGAUUCUUCCUGAUGCUGACACACCUUCUCUUUUUAAAAACAAUAGCAUGGCACCUUUGAUUACUGUUAUAAAGUCCAGAGGUCUUCAGACUGGGGCACACCCACCCAGGGGGGUAUAUAAAGACUUUGUAAGGGGCACUUGGGCAUCGAAGUGUUGGGUUAUGUGUCCUCAACUUUCCUAUCGUCGAGUUCCUAAAACAGACUUGCAUAAGAACCUCUGGGCUGGGAGUUAUUUACCCUCUCCUACAUCUCUUCCUUUCUAUCAUCCUUUUGCUACUCUACAAAGGAAAGGCACCACCCUCCCCCAUCCCAAAUCUUACUAAAGUAUAUUGCCUGGGUGUAGAAACCUUUAUGAUAGCAAAGGGACAAUUUCAUUUCAUAAUACAUAUUUAUUAAAUACCUAAUAUAUACCAGG